This 262-nucleotide long non-coding RNA is filed under the name Ananas comosus (pineapple). RNAcentral's name for it is "long non-coding RNA (ACOM_LNC043713)". The record is from RNAcentral. Lineage: Eukaryota; Viridiplantae; Streptophyta; Magnoliopsida; Poales; Bromeliaceae.
ACUUUUAUUUCUGCAUUUAGUAAUUUACAUAAAUAAAUGGUUCAGUUAGAUGAUUAUUAUUGAUGUUUGAAUAUUUGUGAACUGUUUGAGUUGGUUUUCCUAUUAUGCAUGCAAUUGGAGCUUUUGGAUCUUCGGUUUUGGAAUUAUGAAUUUAUACUUUGUGGUUUUCUACCCCUCGAGGUAGUCGGUUUUCAAAAUAGAGUUUCCAAGUGGGAAACAGUUUUCAAAAAAAUUUUGAAUGGUUUUAUGGAUGAUUAUAUAG